GUUGACGGAGCAGUUGAUGGUGGUAGAGGUUAGGAGCAACGGCGGCUAGGGGGCUAGGGUUUUUGUUCUUUUUUUUUUUUGCUGAAAAUUAUUUAGGUUAUGGGCCAUUAGGUUUUUGUGUUAUUUGGGUUUGUAACUUUUGGGCUUUUAGGUCUUGGAAAUGGACUUUUGGACUUAAUGGAUUUUUUUUUAUUUGGUUUUUUUGUUUGGGCCCGGAUGAAAUUGGGCUUUUACAGACUUAAUUACUAUUUGAUAGUAAUUGGCUUUUCAUGAAGAAAGAUCUAAUGGUCACCAUAGGAUAAAAUAAGAUAAUAUUUGGAGAACGAAUUUUUCCCAAAGAGAUUAAGGAUAUCUUAUGAGGGUAACACACUUAUGAUAAGGUCAUUAGAUGAGCACUGAUUGAGUAGUUUUUGUAAUGGUACGUAAUUAGGGAGAGCUCAGCUACGAUAUUAUAGUAAAAUGAUUUCGUGACUAAAUGAGUUUAUAAUUAAUAGGUAAAAAGCUGGAACUUAAUUAUAAAUUGUAAC
This 527-nucleotide long non-coding RNA is filed under the name Gossypium raimondii (Peruvian cotton). RNAcentral describes it as "long non-coding RNA (GRAI_LNC008648)". Lineage: Eukaryota; Viridiplantae; Streptophyta; Magnoliopsida; Malvales; Malvaceae. The record is from RNAcentral.